This 253-nucleotide ribosomal RNA is filed under the name uncultured bacterium. RNAcentral describes it as "partial 16S ribosomal RNA". It matches the Rfam family "Bacterial small subunit ribosomal RNA", at positions 524 to 776 of the family's 1533-position model. The record is from RNAcentral.
UACGUAGGGUGCGAGCGUUGUCCGGAAUUAUUGGGCGUAAAGGGCUCGUAGGCGGUCUGUUGCGUCAGGAGUGAAAACUCGGGGCUUAACCCCGAGCCUGCUUCUGAUACGGGCAGACUAGAGGUAUGCAGGGGAGAACGGAAUUCCUGGUGUAGCGGUGAAAUGCGCAGAUAUCAGGAGGAACACCGGUGGCGAAGGCGGCUUGCUGGGCCUUACCUGACGCUGAGGAGCGAAAGCGUGGGGAGCGAACAGG